GGAGGGGGGCUAGCGUUGUUCGGAAUUACUGGGCGUAAAGCGCGCGUAGGCGGACUUUCAAGUCAGGGGUGAAAUCCCGAGGGCUCAACCUCGGAACUGCCUUUGAUACUGCAAGUCUUGAGUCCGAGAGAGGUGAGUGGAAUUCCUAGUGUAGAGGUGAAAUUCGUAGAUAUUAGGAAGAACACCAGUGGCGAAGGCGGCUCACUGGCUCGGUACUGACGCUGAGGCGCGAAAGCGUGGGGAGCAAACAGGAUUAGAUACCCUGGUAGUCCACGCCGUAAACUAUGGGUGCUAGCCGUCGGGGAGCUUGCUCUUCGGUGGCGCAGCUAACGCAUUAAGCACCCCGCCUGGGGAGUACGGUCGCAAGAUUA
RNAcentral lists this ribosomal RNA (371 nucleotides) under uncultured organism. RNAcentral's name for it is "partial 16S ribosomal RNA". It matches the Rfam family "Bacterial small subunit ribosomal RNA", at positions 526 to 896 of the family's 1533-position model. The record is from RNAcentral.